This 74-nucleotide transfer RNA is filed under the name Kapaibacterium sp. (SeqCode). Its description in RNAcentral is "tRNA-Val". It matches the Rfam family "tRNA". Rfam says of the family: Transfer RNA (tRNA) molecules are approximately 80 nucleotides in length. Their secondary structure includes four short double-helical elements and three loops (D, anti-codon, and T loops). Lineage: Bacteria; Pseudomonadati; Bacteroidota; Eximiradiia; Eximiradiales; Kapaibacteriaceae (SeqCode). The record is from RNAcentral.
GCGGUCUUAGCUCAGUUGGUUAGAGCACUUCGUUGACAUCGAAGAGGUCAUAGGUUCGAAUCCCAUAGACCGCA